AAGGAGAAAGUCUGAGAAUGGAUAGAAGAAACGAUGUGAGAGGACGAGGACGAGUGCGUAUGUGAGGUGGGCGACGAGGAGGAAGAGGAGGAGGAGGGCAAGAAAGAGGAAGAGGAGGACGAAGAGGAAGACAAAGAGUGGAAAUAUCUGAUGAAAUUCGAGCAACAGUUAUAGACCAUGUUCUUGUCCAUGGACUGACAAUGAGGGAAGCAGGACUUAGAGUGCAACCCAAUUUGAGCCGAUUUUCUGUGUCCACCAUAGUAAGGACAUUCAGAGAAGAGAAAAGAAUUGCAAGGCUGCCACAUGCAGGUGGAAGGACAGCUAUAUUCACUCGGGAGCAAGAGGCCGUUAUAGUUGGCAUGGUCCUUCAAGAUAAUGCAAUACGACUCAGAGAAAUCCUGGAAUGAGUGAUACAAGACAACACACACUUCCAGGGAAUCGACAGUGUGAGCAUUUCCACAAUUGACCGUGUCCUCCAUCGUAACAGGAUGCGAAUGAAACAAGUAUACAGAGUACCUUUUGAGCGCAACUCACCAAGGGUGAAAGAACUGCAAGCUCAGUAUGUGCAAGUAAGUGUACAUUCAGAAACAUUUACUGUAAUCCAGAUUGUCUACAGUACUAACACAUACUAUGUGAAUGACAUUACUCUUCAGUACAUACAAUGUAUGUGAAUCAGAAGUGCAUACAGUAGGCCUAAUUGUACUCUACAGUAUAGCACUGUCUCUGUACGACUUACAAAAUCCUACAUACAGUAUAUUGUAUUUCUACACAAACAAUAUUUGACUUGGAAUCCUUGGACAGACCCCAUGAGUUCAUCUUUGUCGAUGAAGCAGGCUUCAAUCUAACAAAGAGGAGAAGGAGAGGCCGAAACAUGAUUGGACAGCGGGCCAUUGUUGAAGUCCCUGGUCAACGAGGUGGCAAUGUCACAAUCUGUGCUGCUAUCAGCAACCAUGGUUUUCUACAUCACCAUGUUACACUCGGGCCAUAUAACACCCAGCACCUUCUAAGAUUUAUUGCCAAUCUAAGAGAUAUUUUAUUUGAGCAGCAGGUUCAAGAGCAGCAGGGUCAAGAGCUAAAUGAGAAUCCCAUUCCCACCUAUGUGAUAGUGUGGGACAAUGUCAGUUUCCACCAAGCUGCUCAGGUAAGGGAAUGGUUUAACAUCAAUGGGCAGUUUAUGAACUUAUACCUCCCUCCAUACUCGCCUUUCCUGAAUCCGAUUGAGGAGUUUUUCUCCUCUUGGAGAUGGAAAGUGUAUGAUAGACAACCCUACACCAGAGUAAAUCUGCUGCAAGCCAUGGAUUUAGCCUGUGGUGAUAUAGGUGAGGAAUCAUGUCAGGGCUGGAUACGGCACACAAGAGGCUUCUUCCCCCGUUGCCUCAGGAGGGACAAUAUUGCUUGUGAUGUCGACUAAGUGCUCUGGCCUGACCCAGCCCAAAGACAAGAAGAAGCACAUUGAUCACAUGUUUACUCCUUUGAUUUUUGUCCCUUUUAGUAUUGUAGGCUGUAUACUGUACAAUGGACAAAUUGUAUGGCCCUGAACAUUGUGCUUUCCAUUUAUUAACAGUACUGACUGCUCAAUAGAUUUUGACUGGUUGCAGG
Molecule: long non-coding RNA, 1599 nt
Filed under: Salmo salar (Atlantic salmon)
Lineage: Eukaryota; Metazoa; Chordata; Actinopteri; Salmoniformes; Salmonidae
Description: lncRNA (ENSSSAG00000088453.1)
Source: RNAcentral